Long non-coding RNA from Dermacentor andersoni, 835 nucleotides. RefSeq lists it as uncharacterized. Lineage: Eukaryota; Metazoa; Arthropoda; Arachnida; Ixodida; Ixodidae. The record is from RefSeq and is a predicted model, not a curated record.
ACUUUGUCCUUGGGGCUACGCUCUCGCCUGGGAGGGGAGACACAAGGCAUCGACAGCUAGGUCCAAUGAAGCGUGGGGACUCAUCUUCUGCAAGCGAGCGUACACAUAUAAAAGGGACGCGCAUCCGACAUGCGUUCCAGAUUCGAUCUGAGCGUGUGCUAUUGUUGUCGCGAUAGGCAAGCAAGCAGCGGCCACUCCCCACACCAGGCUUGGGGCAUCCAUCAUGGUCUCUCACGGGCACGGAAGGUCCUGCGCGCUCGUUUUGCUGCUGACGCUGCUCGCCGCAGUGCUCGUCACUGAAGUUCGCGCCAGGAGCGCGCUGCAGCGCCAAGACCAGCCAGGCGGCGGCUUGAUCGACACUCGCUUCUGGCAGGGAGUCCUCAACAAAACGCUGGAGGGCAACGUGGAGCAGGCCUUCAACUUGGUCUUCGGCCGAAUGUCCGACGACAUCUCUGGCGCCAUGAAUCGGUUCACCAGUUUUCUCGACGGCGUCAGGCGGAACGUCACGUCGGUGAUACAGGAUGGCGUGAGGACAAGGCCCACAGCUACCUGAGCGACCGUGCCGCCGAUGAGUGCAAGACAACGGCCCGCUCCAAGACAUUUAUUUACCAUUACAUUUACCCUGAGUCAACACUACCUUACAGCAUCGCCAACACAACCCUCCCUAAGCCUGAAAGCAUCCAUAUAUCACCACGUCGUCGUUACGAAUCCACACUGCUCAGCUCCGACCUGGACGAGCACUUCUGGGACUCCGGGCCGACUAACUGCCGUUGCGUACCCCCGCAACUGAAGAAACCGCCAGCCAGUGCUUUCAAAUAAAUGUUUUGACCAUUCA